RNAcentral lists this ribosomal RNA (459 nucleotides) under uncultured bacterium. RNAcentral's name for it is "bacterial SSU rRNA". It matches the Rfam family "Bacterial small subunit ribosomal RNA", at positions 29 to 533 of the family's 1533-position model. The record is from RNAcentral.
AACGAACGCUGGCGGCAGGCUUAACACAUGCAAGUCGAACGCCCCGCAAGGGGAGUGGCAGACGGGUGAGUAACGCGUGGGAACGUACCUUUCAGUUCGGAAUAACUCAGGGAAACUUGUGCUAAUACCGGAUACGCCCGCAAGGGGAAAGAUUUAUCGCUGAAAGAUCGGCCCGCGUUGGAUUAGCUAGUUGGUGGGGUAAAGGCCUACCAAGGCGACGAUCCAUAGCUGGUCUGAGAGGAUGAUCAGCCACACUGGGACUGAGACACGGCCCAGACUCCUACGGGAGGCAGCAGUGGGGAAUAUUGGACAAUGGGCGCAAGCCUGAUCCAGCCAUGCCGCGUGUGUGAUGAAGGCCUUAGGGUUGUAAAGCACUUUCACCGAUGAAGAUAAUGACGGUAGUCGGAGAAGAAGCCCCGGCUAACUUCGUGCCAGCAGCCGCGGUAAAAGUCAACGUCG